GGACUUAUACAUGCAAGUCGAGCGGGCUCAUUUUUACCUUGCUAAUGAUGGUGAGAGUGGCACACGGGUGCGUAACGCGUGAGCAACCUGCCCUUAUUUGGGGGAUAUCCCGAAAAACUUCGGAUUAACACCGCAUUUUAUUACAGUUCCGCAUGGAAACACUAAUUAAAUAUUUAUAGGAUAUGGAUGGGCUCGCGUGACAUUAGCUAGUUGGUAGGGUAACGGCUUACCAUGGCUACGAUGUCUAGGGGCUCUGAGAGGAGAAUCCCCCACACUGGUACUGAGACUCAGACCAGACUCCUACGGGAGGCAGCAGUAAGGAAUAUUGGUCAAUGGAGGGAACUCUGAACCAGCCAUGCCGCGUGCAGGAUGACUGCCCUAUGGGUUGUAAACUGCUUUUGUCGGGGAAUAAACCUCUCUACGAGUAGAGAGCUGAAUGUACCCGAAGAAUAAUGAUCGGCUAACUCCGUGCCACCACCCGCGGUAAUACGGAGGAUCCGAGCGUUAUCCGGAUUUAUUGGGUUUAAAGGGUGCGUAGGCGGCCUUAUAAGUCAUGGGUGAAAUACUGCAGCUCAACUGUCCCAGUGCCUUUAAUACUGUAGGGCUUGAUCUAUUUGAAGUGGGCGGAAUAAAACAAAUAUCGAUGAAAUGCAUAGAUAUGUCUUAAACUC
RNAcentral lists this ribosomal RNA (671 nucleotides) under Sphingobacterium yanglingense. RNAcentral's name for it is "bacterial SSU rRNA". It matches the Rfam family "Bacterial small subunit ribosomal RNA", at positions 45 to 708 of the family's 1533-position model. Lineage: Bacteria; Pseudomonadati; Bacteroidota; Sphingobacteriia; Sphingobacteriales; Sphingobacteriaceae. The record is from RNAcentral.